This is a long non-coding RNA of Gasterosteus aculeatus aculeatus (three-spined stickleback), 718 nucleotides long. The record is from Ensembl. Lineage: Eukaryota; Metazoa; Chordata; Actinopteri; Perciformes; Gasterosteidae.
AUCCACAUCCUCACCCUCUCUCUCCCUGUCAGGGAAGCAUCAUUAAGAGACUCUCUGCUCCUCUUCCCUUUCUUCUUCUUCUUCUUUCAACCCAUUUCAGGAGCGACUUUCCAAGACACCAAGAAAAAUACAGCGGCAUGAACAGCGCCGGUCAAACCGCAGCAGCCGAGAGAGGACGCGGCGCCCCCGAGAGUACUCUUCCCAGUAGGAGGAGCAUACUGAGUAGUUUUCCGUGGUUGGUGUCCGUGUGAAGCCGAUGUCGGUGGCGGUCCAGCUGUACCUUCCUCUGACCUCAUUCUCUGGUUGCAUGGAGCCUGAAGCCAAACCGUCCUCCCAAAUCCCACCGUCGCCGGGAGGAUUAAAGCCGGGACCGGAUUUAUGGCCUCCAAAGGGACCGCAAGGAUCUGUGCUCUCUCCAACGUGAACACUGCUUCGACUUUCACAUAAUUCUGCAGCUCUGUGAGAUAAUCUCAGUCCUUAGAUCGCCUUCAGCGUGAGACAUAGUUGGAGGGAUCAAAGGUCACCGGCAGUUAAUCCUUCGUGAAAUCAUCAUCCCCCACAAAGGACCGAUGAGUUCAUCCGAUGAGAGGGAUUUCAAUAGCUGCAGCUUGCAGUUCGUCCUUCAUGUACUGGAGCUUUUGAGGGGGCUCAAAUUUAAAGAGUGAAAUCUGAUUAAUGAAGCAGAACAUUUUUACUUUAACUGGCUCAACAUAAAUUU